Molecule: long non-coding RNA, 241 nt
Organism: Eurytemora carolleeae
Lineage: Eukaryota; Metazoa; Arthropoda; Copepoda; Calanoida; Temoridae
Exons: 3
Source: RefSeq, a predicted model, not a curated record
CCAUGCAGCGUUUGUCCAAGCUCUUGAGUCUGCUGUCAACUAUAUUUCUGUUUGUCGUCUUCCUCAUGUUUAUCAAUCUAAGUGUUAUACAGACUCACAAGCAAACAGAAGUGGAGGAAAUUGUCCUGACAGAAGACGACUUUCCUUUACAGAAUCAGUAUAUAGGAGCGGAUCCGGAGGAGCUAGUGAAAACUAUAGAAAAUGAAGAAAAGAUAUUUAAAGAAAUCAGGAAUAUUCCAGA